This 497-nucleotide ribosomal RNA is filed under the name uncultured bacterium. RNAcentral's name for it is "partial 16S ribosomal RNA". It matches the Rfam family "Bacterial small subunit ribosomal RNA", at positions 28 to 507 of the family's 1533-position model. The record is from RNAcentral.
GAUGAACGCUGGCGGCGUGCCUAACACAUGCAAGUCGAGCGGACAGACGAGGAGCUUGCUCCUUUGACGAUAGCGGCGGAGGGGCGUGACACAUGUGGAUACUCUACUUAUCAGACUGGGAUAACUUGGGGACAGCGGCGCUUACCCGGUAUAAUAUAUUGAACCGCAUGGUUCAUUAGAGAAAGUCGGUUUUGGUGGAACUUAUAGAGGGUUACGCGCUGGAUUAGCUAGUUGUUAAGGUAACGGCUUACCAAGGGAAGGCUGCGUAGCCGACCUGAGAGGGUGAUCGGCCACACUGGAACUGAGCCACGGUCCAGACGCCUACGGGAGGCAGCAGUAGGGAAUCUUCCGCAAUGGGCGGAAGCCUGACGGAGCAGCGCCGCGUGAGUGAUGAAGGUCUUCGGAUCGGAAAACUCUGUUAUGAGGGAAGAACAAAUGUGUAAGUAACUAUGCACGUCUUGACGGUACCUAGUCAGAAAGCCACGGCUAACUACGUG